RNAcentral lists this ribosomal RNA (248 nucleotides) under uncultured Roseburia sp. RNAcentral's name for it is "partial 16S ribosomal RNA". It matches the Rfam family "Bacterial small subunit ribosomal RNA", at positions 524 to 771 of the family's 1533-position model. Lineage: Bacteria; Bacillati; Bacillota; Clostridia; Lachnospirales; Lachnospiraceae. The record is from RNAcentral.
UACGUAGGGGGCAAGCGUUAUCCGGAUUUACUGGGUGUAAAGGGAGCGUAGACGGCGAUGCAAGUCAGAAGUGAAAGCCCGGGGCUCAACCCCGGGACUGCUUUGGAAACUGUAUGGCUGGAGUGCUGGAGAGGCAAGCGGAAUUCCUAGUGUAGCGGUGAAAUGCGUAGAUAUACGGAGGAACACCAGUGGCGAAGGCGGCCUGCUGGACAAUAACUGACGCUGAUGCUCGAAAGCAUGGGUAGCAA